AAAUUGAAGAGUUUGAUCAUGGCUCAGAUUGAACGCUGGCGGCAGGCCUAACACAUGCAAGUCGAACGGUAACAGGAAACAGCUUGCUGUUUCGCUGACGAGUGGCGGACGGGUGAGUAAUGUCUGGGAAACUGCCCGAUGGAGGGGGAUAACUACUGGAAACGGUAGCUAAUACCGCAUAACGUCGCAAGACCAAAGAGGGGGACCUUCGGGCCUCUUGCCAU
RNAcentral lists this ribosomal RNA (224 nucleotides) under Escherichia coli. RNAcentral describes it as "partial 16S ribosomal RNA". It matches the Rfam family "Bacterial small subunit ribosomal RNA", at positions 1 to 221 of the family's 1533-position model. The record is from RNAcentral. Lineage: Bacteria; Pseudomonadati; Pseudomonadota; Gammaproteobacteria; Enterobacterales; Enterobacteriaceae.